This 404-nucleotide long non-coding RNA is filed under the name Elaeis guineensis (African oil palm). Its description in RNAcentral is "long non-coding RNA (EGUI_LNC078728)". Lineage: Eukaryota; Viridiplantae; Streptophyta; Magnoliopsida; Arecales; Arecaceae. The record is from RNAcentral.
GGGAGGAGCGGAUUUUGGUAGCGGAAAGGGGAGAAGAAGAAAUCACCGCUUGGAGCUCGGUCAAGACGUUCUCUCCGACGCCGAAAUUGAUAAACUCAUCACGGACCUUGUUGAUGACAUCAUCCACCACAUGGAUGUAGACACUGGAGACGUUGCUCGCCAUCUCCGGCGAUCAAGAACGGAACGGACGGAAAGGAGACGCGAAGGAGAACCAGCAGGCGAGAUUGGAGAGUGGGAGGGGCGCGAAUCGGAGCCCAACUGAGGGUAAGAGCAUGGAGAAUCACGGGCUUUAGGGGGAUCUAGGGUUUCGAGCUCGGCGAGUGGGUGGAGGGGGGAGGAGAGAGAGAGCGGAUGGAGGAGGGGUUGCGGACGAGAAAGCUUGGUAUUAAGACAAGAAUAUAAAU